Molecule: microRNA precursor, 76 nt
Filed under: Podarcis lilfordi (Lilford's wall lizard)
Lineage: Eukaryota; Metazoa; Chordata; Lepidosauria; Squamata; Lacertidae
Source: RNAcentral
GCCCACAAUACUCAUAUAUAUAUAUAUAUAUAUAUAUAUAUAUAUAUAUAUAUAUAUAUAUAUAUAUGGGGGGGGG